AUUUAAGUAGUUUAAAUUAAAAAUAUUAAUUUGUGAAAUUAAUGAUAUAAAUAUAUGAGAUAUCUUAGAUA
RNAcentral lists this transfer RNA (71 nucleotides) under Lasius spathepus. RNAcentral's name for it is "tRNA-His". Lineage: Eukaryota; Metazoa; Arthropoda; Insecta; Hymenoptera; Formicidae. The record is from RNAcentral.